GAUUAACGCUGGCGGCGUGCCUAACACAUGCAAGUCGAACGAGGUAGCAAUACCUAGUGGCAGACGGGUGAGUAACGCGUGGUCAACCUACCCUAGAGUGGGGGAUAACUAGCCGAAAGGUUAGCUAAUACCGCAUGAAACGUGCCGGGGCAUCUCGGAAUGUUGAAAGGAGCAAUCCGCUCAAGGACGGGACCGCGUCCCAUUAGCUAGUUGGUGGGGUAACGGCCUACCAAGGCACCGAUGGGGAGCUGGUUUGAGAGAGCGGACCAGCCACACUGGGACUGAGAAACGGCCCAGACUCCUACGGGAGGCAGCAGUGAGGAAUUUUCCGCAAU
Molecule: ribosomal RNA, 335 nt
Filed under: uncultured bacterium
Lineage: Bacteria
Description: bacterial SSU rRNA
Rfam family: Bacterial small subunit ribosomal RNA
Source: RNAcentral